UGCCAAUGAUGAUAUCAAUGGUAUAUUGGGUUUUAUGAUUUAUCGUGAUUACCUCAUACCACUACUGCCUUCCUUCUGAGGCU
Molecule: non-coding RNA, 83 nt
Organism: Morus notabilis
Lineage: Eukaryota; Viridiplantae; Streptophyta; Magnoliopsida; Rosales; Moraceae
Source: Rfam